RNAcentral lists this unclassified non-coding RNA (289 nucleotides) under fungal sp. RNAcentral describes it as "partial internal transcribed spacer region". The stretch from base 1 to 46 matches the Rfam family "Eukaryotic small subunit ribosomal RNA", at positions 1786 to 1831 of the family's 1831-position model. Lineage: Eukaryota; Fungi. The record is from RNAcentral.
AAGUCGUAACAAGGUAACCGUAGGUGAACCUGCGGUUGGAUCAUUAUUGAAAUUUUAUCUUCAAUAGUGAUGUGUCUUGGUCUUUUCCAAUUCACACCAUUAUCACAACAAAAACCUUGUGAAUCUAUUGAAACAGUCUUUGGAGUGACUUGUCAAUGAAGGAACUUGUAUCUCUUUAUUGAAGAUGAGAACUCCUACUUAUUUAAAAACAUUUAUUACUUUCUAAUUGAGCCUUUAAAAGAUUUCUAAAGAAUCAAAAAAACUUUUGACAAUGGAUCUCUUGGCUCUC